This 101-nucleotide transfer RNA is filed under the name Candidatus Methanoperedens nitratireducens. RNAcentral describes it as "Candidatus Methanoperedens nitroreducens tRNA-Lys". It matches the Rfam family "tRNA". From Rfam's summary of the family: Transfer RNA (tRNA) molecules are approximately 80 nucleotides in length. The record is from RNAcentral. Lineage: Archaea; Methanobacteriati; Methanobacteriota; Methanomicrobia; Methanosarcinales; Candidatus Methanoperedentaceae.
GGGCUCGUAGCUCAGUCAGGCAGAGCACCGGGCUUUUAUUCCGGCGCAAAUUACGUGGAAAAGAUACCCGAUGGUCGAGGGUUCAAAUCCCUCCGAGCCCG